UGACUUAUCUGUAGAGGCCCUCCCCUA
RNAcentral lists this non-coding RNA (27 nucleotides) under Mus musculus (house mouse). The record is from RNAcentral. Lineage: Eukaryota; Metazoa; Chordata; Mammalia; Rodentia; Muridae.